CCUACGGGAGGCAGCAGUGAGGAAUAAUGGACAAUGGGCGCGAGCCUGAACCAGCGAAGUAGCGUGAAGGAUGACUGCCCUACGGGUUGUAAACUUCUUUUAUAAAGGAAUAAAGUGAGGAACGUGUGCCUUUUUGUAUGUACUUUAUGAAUAAGGAUCGGCUAACUGCGUGACAGCAGCCGCGGUAAUACGGAGGAUUCGAGCGUUAUCCGGAUUUAUUGGGUUUAAAUGGAGCGUAGAUGGGUUGUUAAGUCAGUUGUGAAAGUUUGCGGCUCAACCGUAAAAUUGCAAUUGAUACUGGCAGUCUUGAGUACAGGUGAGGUAGGCGGAAUUCGUGGUGUAGCGGUGAAAUGCUUAGAUAUCGCGAAGAACUCCGAUGGCGAAGGCAGCUUACUAAACUUCCACUGACAUUGAUGCUCGAAAGUGUGGGUAUCAAACAGGAGUAGAUACCCUUGUAGUC
This 460-nucleotide ribosomal RNA is filed under the name uncultured bacterium. RNAcentral describes it as "partial 16S ribosomal RNA". It matches the Rfam family "Bacterial small subunit ribosomal RNA", at positions 338 to 795 of the family's 1533-position model. The record is from RNAcentral.